Molecule: ribosomal RNA, 1856 nt
Filed under: gut metagenome
Description: bacterial LSU rRNA
Rfam family: Bacterial large subunit ribosomal RNA
Source: RNAcentral
GUUGGAGGCUAACGCAGGGAACUGAAACAUCUUAGUACCUGCAGGAAAAGAAAAUAAAUAAUGAUUCCCCUAGUAGUGGCGAGCGAACGGGGAUUAGCCCAAACCACCCAUGUUACGGCAUGUGUGGGGUUGUAGGACCACGCUCUCGCAAGACAGUUAUUGAGAAGAAACGACUGGAAAGUCGUGCCAUAGACGGUGAUAGCCCGGUAUUCUAAGGUAACCGAAGCGUAGUGGUAUCCUGAGUAGCGCGGAGCACGAGGAAUUCUGCGUGAAUCAGCCGGGACCAUCCGGUAAGGCUAAAUACUCCCGAGAGACCGAUAGCGAACCAGUACUGUGAAGGAAAGGUGAAAAGCACUUCGAAUAGAAGAGUGAAAUAGUCCCUGAAACCAUGCGCCUACAAGCGGUCGGAGCAGCUUAAGUUGUGACGGCGUGCCUUUUGCAUAAUGAACCUACGAGUUACUUUUUCCGGCAAGGUUAAGCAUCUUGAGAUGUGGAUCCGAAGCGAAAGCGAGUCUGAACAGGGCGGAUAGUCGGAAGGAGUAGACGCGAAACCAAGUGAUCUACCCUUGGGCAGGUUGAAGGUUAGGUAACACUAACUGGAGGACCGAACCGAUAAGCGUUGAAAAGCUUCCGGAUGACCUGAGGGUGGGGGUGAAAGGCUAAUCAAACUUGGAGAUAGCUCGUACUCCCCGAAAUGCAUUUAGGUGCAGCCUUGAGAGUUACUAAUGUGAGGUAGAGCGACUGAUAAGAUGCGAGGGCUUCACCGCCUAUCAAGUCUUGAUAAACUCCGAAUGCGCAUUAGUUCUAUCUCAGGAGUGAGGGCAUGGGUGCUAAGGUCCAUGUCCUAAAGGAGAAGAAUCCAGACCAUCAGCUAAGGUCCCCAAAUAAACACUAAGUUGAACUAACGAAGUCAGAUUGCUAAGACAGCUAGGAUGUUGGCUUGGAAGCAGCCAUUCAUUUAAAGAGUGCGUAACAGCUCACUAGUCGAGGAGUUUGGCGUGGAUAAUAAUCGGGCAUAAGUGUUUUACCGAAGCUAUGGGAUCCUAAUGGAUCGGUAGGGGAGCAUUCCACUCAGCGUUGAAGGCGAAGCGUGAGCUUUACUGGAGCGUGUGGAAAAGCAAAUGUAGGUAUAAGUAACGAUAAAGGGGGUGAGAAACCCCCUCGCCGCAAGACUAAGGUUUCCUGAUCAACGCUAAUCGGAUCAGGGUUAGUCGGGUCCUAAGGCUCAGCCGAACGGUGAGGCCGAUGGCAGAACAGGUUAAUAUUCCUGUACUACCUAUAAGAGUGAUGUGGAGACGGAGGAGUGACAACGCCGCGGACUGACGGAAUAGUCCGUUAAAGGGUGUAGAUGUUGAUUAUCCCAGGCAAAUCCGGGAUAAGAGUCGAACCUGACAGUAUACCAAUUUCCUCGGAAAACGGUAAUAGUGCGUGUAAACAUACUCCCAAGAAAAUCCGCUAAACUUAAUCUUAUAGGUACCCGUACCGUAAACGGACACACGUAGUCGGGUUGAAUAUACUCAGGCGCUUGAGUGAAUCACGGUUAAGGAACUAGGCAAAUUGACCCUGUAACUUCGGGAUAAAGGGUCCCUACCCGGUGACGGGAGGGCGCAGAGAAUAGGUCCAGGCAACUGUUUAACAAAAACACAGGGCUGUGCAAAAUUGAAAGAUCACGUAUACAGCCUGACACCUGCCCGGUGCUGGAAGGUUAAGAGGAGAUGUCAUCGCAAGAGAAGCAUUGAAUUGAAGCCCCAGUAAACGGCGGCCGUAACUAUAACGGUCCUAAGGUAGCGAAAUUCCUUGUCGGGUAAGUUCCGACCUGCACGAAUGGUGUAAUGAUCUGGACACUGUCUCAACCG